AUUUAUGGCAAAUAAUCUCAUUGUCAAAAGUUGCUGCCAUUGUUUUCAACUAUUACGGCUAAGUUUGCCUAUAAAUUGAGCCUUGCAGCAACAUUGCAGAUCACCACCAAAAACAGAAAUCUUCUUCUGUUAGUAGAGAGAGCAAGAGUGAGUUGAAGGAAAAUCUCAAAUACGAGAGUUUGAGGGUUUGAGACAAAAGCUUAGUUAGAAGCUUUUGGUGUGAGAAAAUUAGAUAGUAAUUUU
This 243-nucleotide long non-coding RNA is filed under the name Salvia miltiorrhiza (redroot sage). RNAcentral describes it as "long non-coding RNA (SMIL_LNC013532)". Lineage: Eukaryota; Viridiplantae; Streptophyta; Magnoliopsida; Lamiales; Lamiaceae. The record is from RNAcentral.